This 402-nucleotide ribosomal RNA is filed under the name uncultured prokaryote. RNAcentral describes it as "bacterial SSU rRNA". It matches the Rfam family "Bacterial small subunit ribosomal RNA", at positions 355 to 774 of the family's 1533-position model. The record is from RNAcentral.
UGGGGAAUAUUGGACAAUGGGCGAAAGCCUGAUCCAGCAAUGCCGCGUGAGUGAUGAAGGCCUUAGGGUUGUAAAGCUCUUUUACCAGGGAUGAUAAUGACAGUACCUGGAGAAUAAGCUCCGGCUAACUCCGUGCGCGCAGCCGCGGUCAUACGGAGGGAGCUAGGGUUGUUCGGAAUUACUGGGCGUAAAGCGCACGUAGGCGGCCAUUCAAGUCAGAGGGGAAAGCCCGGGGCUCAACCCCGGAACUGCCUUUGAAACUAGAUGGCUUGAAUGUGGGAGAGGCGAGUGGAAUUCCGAGUGUAGAGGUGAAAUUCGUAGAUAUUCGGAAGAACACCAGUGGCGAAGGCGACUCGCUAGACAAGUAUUGACGCUGAGGUGCGAAAGCGUGGGGAGCAAACA